GUACACAAAAAUGCACAUGCUGUGAGCUCGAUGAGUAGGGCGGGACACGUGGUAUCCUGUCUGAAUAUGGGGGGACCAUCCUCCAAGGCUAAAUACUCCUGACUGACCGAUAGUGAACCAGUACCGUGAGGGAAAGGCGAAAAGAACCCCGGCGAGGGGAGUGAAAAAGAACCUGAAACCGUGUACGUACAAGCAGUGGGAGCACGCUUAGGCGUGUGACUGCGUACCUUUUGUAUAAUGGGUCAGCGACUUAUAUUCUGUAGCAAGGUUAACCGAAUAGGGGAGCCGAAGGGAAACCGAGUCUUAACUGGGCGUUAAGUUGCAGGGUAUAGACCCGAAACCCGGUGAUCUAGCCAUGGGCAGGUUGAAGGUUGGGUAACACUAACUGGAGGACCGAACCGACUAAUGUUGAAAAAUUAGCGGAUGACUUGUGGCUGGGGGUGAAAGGCCAAUCAAACCGGGAGAUAGCUGGUUCUCCCCGAAAGCUAUUUAGGUAGCGCCUCGUGAAUUCAUCUCCGGGGGUAGAGCACUGUUUCGGCAAGGGGGUCAUCCCGACUUACCAACCCGAUGCAAACUGCGAAUACCGGAGAAUGUUAUCACGGGAGACACACGGCGGGUGCUAACGUCCGUCGUGAAGAGGGAAACAACCCAGACCGCCAGCUAAGGUCCCAAAGUCAUGGUUAAGUGGGAAACGAUGUGGGAAGGCCCAGACAGCCAGGAUGUUGGCUUAGAAGCAGCCAUCAUUUAAAGAAAGCGUAAUAGCUCACUGGUCGAGUCGGCCUGCGCGGAAGAUGUAACGGGGCUAAACCAUGCACCGAAGCUGCGGCAGCGACGCUUAUGCGUUGUUGGGUAGGGGAGCGUUCUGUAAGCCUGCGAAGGUGUGCUGUGAGGCAUGCUGGAGGUAUCAGAAGUGCGAAUGCUGACAUAAGUAACGAUAAAGCGGGUGAAAAGCCCGCUCGCCGGAAGACCAAGGGUUCCUGUCCAACGUUAAUCGGGGCAGGGUGAGUCGACCCCUAAGGCGAGGCCGAAAGGCGUAGUCGAUGGGAAACAGGUUAAUAUUCCUGUACUUGGUGUUACUGCGAAGGGGGGACGGAGAAGGCUAUGUUGGCCGGGCGACGGUUGUCCCGGUUUAAGCGUGUAGGCUGGUUUUCCAGGCAAAUCCGGAAAAUCAAGGCUGAGGCGUGAUGACGAGGCACUACGGUGCUGAAGCAACAAAUGCCCUGCUUCCAGGAAAAGCCUCUAAGCAUCAGGUAACAUCAAAUCGUACCCCAAACCGACACAGGUGGUCAGGUAGAGAAUACCAAGGCGCUUGAGAGAACUCGGGUGAAGGAACUAGGCAAAAUGGUGCCGUAACUUCGGGAGAA
This 1364-nucleotide ribosomal RNA is filed under the name Escherichia coli. RNAcentral describes it as "partial 23S ribosomal RNA". It matches the Rfam family "Bacterial large subunit ribosomal RNA", at positions 375 to 1744 of the family's 2925-position model. Lineage: Bacteria; Pseudomonadati; Pseudomonadota; Gammaproteobacteria; Enterobacterales; Enterobacteriaceae. The record is from RNAcentral.